RNAcentral lists this ribosomal RNA (735 nucleotides) under uncultured Synechococcus sp. Its description in RNAcentral is "bacterial SSU rRNA". It matches the Rfam family "Bacterial small subunit ribosomal RNA", at positions 781 to 1515 of the family's 1533-position model. The record is from RNAcentral. Lineage: Bacteria; Bacillati; Cyanobacteriota; Cyanophyceae; Synechococcales; Synechococcaceae.
GAUACCCCUGUAGUCCUGGCCGUAAACGAUGAACACUAGGUGUCGGGGGAAUCGACCCCCUCGGUGUCGUAGCCAACGCGUUAAGUGUUCCGCCUGGGGAGUACGCACGCAAGUGUGAAACUCAAAGGAAUUGACGGGGGCCCGCACAAGCGGUGGAGUAUGUGGUUUAAUUCGGUGCAACGCGAAGAACCUUACCAGGGUUUGACAUCCUGCGAAUCCCUUGGAAACUUGGGAGUGCCUUCGGGAGCGCAGUGACAGGUGGUGCAUGGCUGUCGUCAGCUCGUGUCGUGAGAUGUUGGGUUAAGUCCCGCAACGAGCGCAACCCACGUCUUUAGUUGCCAGCAUUUAGUUGGGCACUCUAGAGAGACUGCCGGUGAUAAACCGGAGGAAGGUGUGGAUGACGUCAAGUCAUCAUGCCCCUUACAUCCUGGGCUACACACGUACUACAAUGCUACGGACAAAGGGCAGCAAACUCGCGAGAGCUAGCAAAUCCCAUAAACCGUGGCUCAGUUCAGAUCGUAGGCUGCAACUCGCCUACGUGAAGGAGGAAUCGCUAGUAAUCGCAGGUCAGCAUACUGCGGUGAAUACGUUCCCGGGCCUUGUACACACCGCCCGUCACACCAUGGAAGUUGGCCACGCCCGAAGUCGUUACUCCAACCCUUGUGGAGGAGGAUGCCGAAGGUGGGGCUGAUGACUGGGGUGAAGUCGUAACAAGGUAGCCGUACUGGAAGGUGC